RNAcentral lists this ribosomal RNA (159 nucleotides) under Arecophila sp. Its description in RNAcentral is "partial large subunit ribosomal RNA". It matches the Rfam family "Eukaryotic large subunit ribosomal RNA", at positions 99 to 261 of the family's 3401-position model. The record is from RNAcentral. Lineage: Eukaryota; Fungi; Ascomycota; Sordariomycetes; Xylariales; Cainiaceae.
CGGCAACAGCUCAAAUUUGAAAUCUGGCCCUCGGGUCCGAAUUGUAAUUUGUAGAGGAUGCUUUUGGUGCGGUGCCUUCCGAGUUCCCUGGAACGGGACGCCUUAGAGGGUGAGAGCCCCGUACGGUUGGACGCCUAGCCUCUGUAAAGCUCCUUCGAC